GAGGUCUCCGAGUGAACAGGUCUGUUUGAUUCAAUUUCAUCGCUUUGUUCCUCUUGUAAGCCAGUUGGAAGGUCUUUGAUAAUUUGAAAAAUUCAAGUAUUUCUGAGCUCGGUGGCAGGUUCAUCAGAGUUACCAAGAUUCGGUUGGUUUGGAGGCUUGUUCGAAAGGAAAGGUCGUGGUUGAUUGAUUGAAUUGGUUGCAGAGUGAGAUUUUGGUAUUGGUCCCAGCAGUGUCUAGCAGUGUUUUUGCUCGGAUCAUAUCUAUAUCUAGAGACUUGAGGUAGACCUGCACGACGAUUGUAGUCCCUGAAGUUUCCUUCCUUUUCUAGCUUUAAUGUUUAUAUUUUUUCGAACAGUUGUAUUUUAUUCCGACAUUGGUCGUAGCACUUAUAGUAUGCUCAUGUACUUGUGACACUAGAUUCCGUGGCUAGUCAGCGUUUUUGAGUUAUUAUAUUUAUUUUGAAAA
Molecule: non-coding RNA, 465 nt
Organism: Nicotiana tabacum (common tobacco)
Lineage: Eukaryota; Viridiplantae; Streptophyta; Magnoliopsida; Solanales; Solanaceae
Source: RefSeq, a predicted model, not a curated record